RNAcentral lists this ribosomal RNA (404 nucleotides) under uncultured prokaryote. Its description in RNAcentral is "bacterial SSU rRNA". It matches the Rfam family "Bacterial small subunit ribosomal RNA", at positions 355 to 774 of the family's 1533-position model. The record is from RNAcentral.
UAGGGAAUAUUAGAAAUGGACGAAAGCCUGACCCAGCAACGCCGCGUGAAGGACGAAGGCCUUCGGGUUGUAAACUUCUUUGAUCAGGGACGAAACAAAUGACGGUACCUGAAGAACAAGCCACGGCUAACUACGUGCCAGCAGCCGCGGUAAUACGUAGGUGGCGAGCGUUAUCCGGAUUUACUGGGUGUAAAGGGCGUGUAGGCGGGUUUGCAAGUCGGAUGUGAAAUUCCCGGGCUUAACUCGGGCGGGUCAUCCGAAACUGCAGAUCUUGAGUACUGGAGAGGAUAGUGGAAUUCCGGGUGUAGCGGUGGAAUGCGCAGAUAUCCGGAGGAACACCAGUGGCGAAAGCGGCCUCCUGGACCAUUCCUGACACUCAGACGCGAAAGCUAGGGUAGCAAACG